CUUAUAAAGAGUGGUUGAGGGACGGGCCCGAUGAAACCCGCCAACCGGCAGCGAUGCAUGGUGGCAAUUCCCGCAGCGUGCAUAACGCUGGCAGAUGAGG
Molecule: non-coding RNA, 100 nt
Filed under: human gut metagenome
Description: SAM riboswitch (S box leader)
Rfam family: SAM riboswitch aptamer (S box leader)
About the family: The SAM riboswitch is found upstream of a number of genes which code for proteins involved in methionine or cysteine biosynthesis in Gram-positive bacteria. The SAM riboswitch acts at the level of transcription termination control.
Source: RNAcentral